AUGAAGAAUAGGGGUGUAGGGUCUGAUAAUGAUAGCGAUAGUGUGUCGAAAUCUGCUCGGUGGUCAAACAUUAUUAGUUUGAAAAAGAAAGUAAGAGAAGACGCUUUCGUUAAUAAUUGCAGGUUCGAAAUUGGUUGUGGUUUUUACACUUCUUUUUGGAACUCGAGGUGGUUGGUCGAAGGCAGAUUGAAGGAUUUGUUACCGCUGUUAUUUUCUAUUUCGUGUCUGCAGUCUGUCUCAACAGCGGGAAUGGGCGGAUGGUUGGAUGGGGUCUGGUAG
Vicia faba (fava bean) is the source of this 279-nucleotide non-coding RNA. Lineage: Eukaryota; Viridiplantae; Streptophyta; Magnoliopsida; Fabales; Fabaceae. The record is from the annotation of a GenBank genome assembly.